UGAAACUGCGAAUGGCUCAUUAAAUCAGUUAUAAUUUAUUUGAUAGUACCUUUACACAUGGAUAACUGUGGUAAUUCUAGAGCUAAUACAUGCUAAAAACCCCGACUUCGGAAGGGGUGUAUUUAUUAGAUUAAAAACCAAUGCCCUUCGGGGCUCCUUGGUGAUUCAUGAUAACUUAACGAAUCGCAUGGCCUUGCGCCGGCGAUGGUUCAUUCAAAUUUCUGCCCUAUCAACUUUCGAUGGUAAGAUAGAGGCUUACCAUGGUGUUGACGGGUAACGGGGAAUUAGGGUUCGAUUCCGGAGAGGGAGCCUGAGAAACGGCUACCACAUCCAAGGAAGGCAGCAGGCGCGCAAAUUACCCAAUCCCAAUCCGGGGAGGUAGUGACGAUAAAUACUGAUGCAGAGCUCUUUUGGGUUUUGCAAUUGGAAUGAGUACAAUCUAAAUCCCUUAACGAGGAACAAUUGGAGGGCAAGUCUGGUGCCAGCAGCCGCGGUAAUUCCAGCUCCAAUAGCGUAUAUUAAAGUUGUUGCGGUUAAAAAGCUCGUAGUUGAACCUUGGGUUUGGCUGGCCGGUCCGCCUCACCGCGUGUACUGGUCCGGCCGAACCUUUCCUUCUGGGGAAUCUCAUGCCCUUCACUGGGUGUGUUGGGGAACCAGGACUUUUACUUUGAAAAAAUUAGAGUGUUCAAAGCAGGCCUAUGCUCGAAUACAUUAGCAUGGAAUAAUAGAAUAGGACGGCAGUUCUAUUUUGUUGGUUUCUAGGAUCGCCGUAAUGAUUAAUAGGGAUAGUCGGGGGCAUCAGUAUUGAAUUGUCAGAGGUGAAAUUCUUGGAUUUAUUCAAGACUAACUACUGCGAAAGCAUUUGCCAAGGAUGUUUUCAUUAAUCAGUGAACGAAAGUUAGGGGAUCGAAGACGAUCAGAUACCGUCGUAGUCUUAACCAUAAACUAUGCCAACUAGCGAUCGGAUGGUGUUUUAUUUUUG
RNAcentral lists this ribosomal RNA (982 nucleotides) under Sclerococcales sp. RNAcentral's name for it is "SSU rRNA". It matches the Rfam family "Eukaryotic small subunit ribosomal RNA", at positions 82 to 1073 of the family's 1831-position model. The record is from RNAcentral. Lineage: Eukaryota; Fungi; Ascomycota; Eurotiomycetes; Sclerococcales.